RNAcentral lists this non-coding RNA (73 nucleotides) under unclassified sequences. Its description in RNAcentral is "RAGATH-18 RNA". It matches the Rfam family "RAGATH-18 RNA". From Rfam's summary of the family: Actinobacteria, Firmicutes, Fusobacteria, Thermotogae (1 example). Nearby to self-cleaving ribozyme genes The record is from Rfam by way of RNAcentral.
ACUAUGGAGUGUACAGGAACUUGUGAGUAGAUAUGAUCUCGGUCAAUCCAAAGCAUACACGAUGAAGUAGUAA